RNAcentral lists this ribosomal RNA (102 nucleotides) under Staphylococcus epidermidis. Its description in RNAcentral is "partial 16S ribosomal RNA". It matches the Rfam family "Bacterial small subunit ribosomal RNA", at positions 1439 to 1533 of the family's 1533-position model. Lineage: Bacteria; Bacillati; Bacillota; Bacilli; Caryophanales; Staphylococcaceae. The record is from RNAcentral.
CCAUUUGGAGCUAGCCGUCGAAGGUGGGACAAAUGAUUGGGGUGAAGUCGUAACAAGGUAGCCGUAUCGGAAGGUGCGGCUGGAUCACCUCCUUUCUAAGGA